This 504-nucleotide ribosomal RNA is filed under the name uncultured bacterium. RNAcentral's name for it is "bacterial SSU rRNA". It matches the Rfam family "Bacterial small subunit ribosomal RNA", at positions 15 to 518 of the family's 1533-position model. The record is from RNAcentral.
GAUUAUGGCUCAGGAUGAACGCUGGCGGCGUGCUUAACACAUGCAAGUCGAACGGAGUUUUUAAACGGAAGUUUCGGGUGGAAGUUUAGAAACUUAGUGGCGGACGGGUGAGUAACGCGUGGGUAACCUGCCUCAUACAGGGGGAUAACAGUUAGAAAUGACUGCUAACACCGCAUAAUAUAGCGAAACCGCAUGAUUUUUGCUAUCAAAUAUUUAUAGGUAUGAGAUGGGCCCGCGUCUGAUUAGCUAGUUGGUGGGGUAAAAGCCUACCAAGGCGACGAUCAGUAGCCGGCUUGAGAGAGUGACCGGCCACAUUGGGACUGAGACACGGCCCAAACUCCUACGGGAGGCAGCAGUGGGGAAUAUUGGACAAUGGGGGAAACCCUGAUCCAGCGAACCGCCGCGUGAGUGAAGAAGUAUUUCGGUAUGUAAAGCUCUAUCAGCAGGGAAGAUAAUGACAGUACCUGACUAAGAAGCCCCGGCUAACUACGUGCCAGCCGCAGC